CAGUCAUUUAACUUCUCUGCCCGGAUCUUAUCUCAAAAGUAAGUAACGCUGCUGAUCUCAAGGGGAUCAGGACUUUCCGCGCUCUCCACAGCGCACCAACUCAUCUGCUGCAGGUGAAAAUGGUUUUAGUGUCUCUGGCUCACAGAGAGCUGAACAUCCAGCUGACUGCAGCUUCUCUGCCACACUGACCUCAAACCAAACAUCUGCCGUGUUCGCAUGAUGUUCCAGAGGAGGCGCGUUAUCGAUCCUGCAGAUUUUCACACAGCCUCAUGCGGACCAACCUGUUAACUCCACACCACCAAACGGCCAGUGAGAACACUUGAACCGCUUCACUGCGGGAGGCCGGCGGAUGCAUCACGUGCCGAGUUUACAAAGACAACACGCCCUUUUAACAGGCGCCCGGCCGCCUCUCUGGGGCGCGUGCGCGGGUCCUGGUAAACAGGGAAGUGUUAAAUGGACAGAUUUUUGCAUUGGAUCCGGCGCGUCCUCCGCCAGCAGCUAAUGCUAAUGCUAAUGCUAACGGCGCUCACCUCUGACGGUCGCCGGCACCGGGCUCACGUGAGCUGCCCGGUUAGCUUCUCCUCCGGGGGCCUCCGGAGAGCUUCGGGUGUUUGGCCCGGCAGGUGAAGGCGAAGGGCCCCGGACUCUCCGCUCGAAGGAAAAACACCUUUAUGUCGCUUUUUCCACAGACGGCGGAGAUUCUUCCUGCUGAAAAGCACCAGGGCGGCGACGCUUCAACAUCCGGGCCUGUGAUUGGAUGGCUGGAGGCCACCUGGUUCCGCGGACCAAUGAGCUGCGUUGUUCUGAGAGUUAAAGGUCCCCACGCCCUGUGGGGCCCGCAGGCUGAUGCAGGAUCAGUAUUCAUGUUGGAAGCAAAAGUACUGCAUUCAGAAUGUUACUGAAGUAUUAAAAGUAAAAGUACUCACUGCUGCUGCUGUUAUCUUUAGAUUAUUCAGGAGGAGCUCACUAACUGAUGAUCAUUUUCAUCCUGGAUCAAUCUGCUGAUGAUUUGAAACUAGUGAGAAAUGCGGUCACGGUGACCCAGAGCCCAAAGUGCGGCCUGCACAACGCUUUGUUCUGUCUGACCAGCGGCACAAGAGCUCAACAUUAUUACAAAUACAUCAAAUAAUCCAAAGGAAAAGCAGCAAAGCUUCACGUUUGUGAACCAUCAAAUGUUUUUACAUGAAAAACCAUCAGACGUUGUCCCUUCAUUAGUUCGCUAGUUAAACUGAGCUCCACCUCAACAACUACAGCAAUUACACCCCGCUUUAUAUAAUGCGUGAGGAAUAAUCUGAUAUGUAAUAGUAUAACAGGACAUUCUGCUUCAGUAAUACUUUAAGUACAUUUUCCCGGUUAUACUUUCAGUUCAGCAGAGGGCAGCGCAGAGCUGCAAACACUGAGCAACUGUCCAAUACAGAAGGUGGCGGGCUGGAGGCGUUUAAAGGCAAAAAAAGAGUAAUGUGACCAGUUACUGUAUCUGAUGUUAGUGCCAGGAGCCCAGACAGCUGGAUUUUGGAUUCAGUAAACAUCUGCAGCCAUGCUGACAUCCCAUCAGGCGAGAAGACGUCGCUGCUGUCGAGGCAGACAGACUCUGCUGUGUAUUACUGUGCUGUGAGGCCCACAGUGACAGGAAACACCAAAACUCUGUACAAAAACCUGACAGCUCCUCUCAAGAUUUACUCACUGCAGCUCCUCCUUUUACUGAACAGCAGCGCCACCAAGUGGACACUGACAACACAAUCUAAUGACAAGUUACAAUAUUACUCCUGUUAUUAAUAAAACACAGUUAAUCCAGA
This is a long non-coding RNA of Micropterus dolomieu (smallmouth bass), 1796 nucleotides long. RefSeq lists it as uncharacterized. The transcript is spliced from 2 exons. NCBI's taxonomy places the organism in Eukaryota, Metazoa, Chordata, Actinopteri, Centrarchiformes, Centrarchidae. The record is from RefSeq and is a predicted model, not a curated record.